RNAcentral lists this unclassified non-coding RNA (186 nucleotides) under uncultured Dominikia. RNAcentral's name for it is "partial internal transcribed spacer 2". The record is from RNAcentral. Lineage: Eukaryota; Fungi; Glomeromycota; Glomeromycetes; Glomerales; Glomeraceae.
AAAUAAAAAUCGGGGUUGUUGCUGCCUUUCGUGGUGACGCUUCGGGAUUGGGUUGUCUUUACCUUCGGUUAAAGUGACCUAAAAUUUUAUAUGAUUUUUCGAACGUAUUUAAAUUAUUUACGUACGUUUGCAUUGUCGAAUAUUAGGUGUGGUCAUUUUCAUGAUACGCGUCUAUAAUUUUUCAUC